This 369-nucleotide unclassified non-coding RNA is filed under the name soil metagenome. Its description in RNAcentral is "partial contains 5.8S ribosomal RNA, internal transcribed spacer 2, and large subunit ribosomal RNA". The stretch from base 1 to 120 matches the Rfam family "5.8S ribosomal RNA", at positions 35 to 154 of the family's 154-position model. The record is from RNAcentral.
GAUGAAGAACGCAGCGAAAUGCGAUAAGUAAUGUGAAUUGCAGAAUUCAGUGAACCAUCGAAUCUUUGAACGCACAUUGCGCCCGCCAGUAUUCUGGCGGGCAUGCCUGUUCGAGCGUCAUUUCAACCCUCAAGCCCUGCUUGGUGUUGGGGAUCGGCGUUGCCUCCUCCGUCGUUCGCGGCGGGGUGAGGUCGCCGCCCCCGAAAUGAAUUGGCGGUCUCGUCGCAGCUUUCCUUUGCGUAGUAACAUACCACCUCGCAACCAGGAGCGCGGCGCGGCCACUGCCGUAAAACGCCCAACUUUUUCAAGAGUUGACCUCGAAUCAGGUAGGAAUACCCGCUGAACUUAAGCAUAUCAAUAAGCGGAGGA